Molecule: ribosomal RNA, 286 nt
Filed under: uncultured bacterium
Lineage: Bacteria
Description: partial 16S ribosomal RNA
Rfam family: Bacterial small subunit ribosomal RNA
Source: RNAcentral
GAUGAACGCUAGCGGCAGGCUUAAUACAUGCAAGUCGAGGGGCAACAGGGGUAGCAAUACCUGCUGGCGACCGGCGCACGGGUGCGUAACACGUAUGGAAUCUGCCCAUUACUGAGGGAUAGCCCGGAGAAAUCCGGAUUAAUACCUCAUGACACUGCGAGAUGGCAUCAUUUUGCAGUUAAAGAUUUAUCGGUAAUGGAAGACCAUGCGGCUGAUAGCUAGUUGGUGAGGUAAUGGCUCACCAAGGCGACGAUCAGUAGGGGACCUGAGAGGGUGAUCCCCACAC